This 253-nucleotide ribosomal RNA is filed under the name uncultured bacterium. RNAcentral describes it as "partial 16S ribosomal RNA". It matches the Rfam family "Bacterial small subunit ribosomal RNA", at positions 524 to 776 of the family's 1533-position model. The record is from RNAcentral.
UACGUAGGGGGCUAGCGUUGUCCGGAUUUAUUGGGCGUAAAGAGCGUGUAGGCGGCUUGGUAGGUCUGCUGUGAAAACUCGAGGCUCAACCUCGAGAUGUCGGCGGAAACCAUCUGGCUAGAGUCCGGAAGAGGAGAGUGGAAUUCCUGGUGUAGCGGUGAAAUGCGCAGAUAUCAGGAAGAACACCUAUGGCGAAGGCAGCUCUCUGGGACGGUACUGACGCUGAGACGCGAAAGCGUGGGGAGCGAACAGG